CAUAUCAAUAAGCGGAGGAAAAGAAACCAACAGGGAUUGCCCUAGUAACGGCGAGUGAAGCGGCAACAGCUCAAAUUUGAAAUCUGGCGCAAGCCCGAGUUGUAAUUUGUAGAGGAUGCUUCUGGGUAGCGACCGAUCUAAGUUCCUUGGAACAGGACGUCAUAGAGGGUGAGAAUCCCGUAUGUGACCGGCCCGCACCCUUUACGUAGCUCCUUCGACGAGUCGAGUUGUUUGGGAAUGCAGCUCUAAAUGGGAGGUAAAUUUCUUCUAAAGCUAAAUACCGGCCAGAGACCGAUAGCGCACAAGUAGAGUGAUCGAAAGAUGAAAAGUACUUUGGAAAGAGAGUUAAAAAGCACGUGAAAUUGUUGAAAGGGAAGCGCCUGCAACCAGACUUCGCGGCAGUGUUCCGCCGGUCUUCUGACCGGUUCAUUCUCUGUCGCGAGGCCAUCAUCGUCUGGGCCCGCCGGAUAAGACCUGAGGAAUGUGGCUCCCCCUCGGGGGAGUGUUAUAGCCUCUGGUGAUGCGGCGUGGCUCGGGCGAGGUCCGCGCUUCGGCAAGGAUGAUGGCGUAAUGGUUGUCGGCGGCCCGUCUUGAAACACGGACCAAGGAGUACUAACAUCUAUGC
Molecule: ribosomal RNA, 625 nt
Filed under: Cercospora sp. CMON11
Lineage: Eukaryota; Fungi; Ascomycota; Dothideomycetes; Mycosphaerellales; Mycosphaerellaceae
Also listed under: 1 other name
Description: LSU rRNA
Rfam family: Eukaryotic large subunit ribosomal RNA
Source: RNAcentral